AGGGCACCACCAGGAGUGGAGCCUGCGGCUUAAUUUGACUCAACACGGGAAACCUCACCAGGCCCAGACACCGGAAGGAUUGACAGAUUGAUAGCUCUUUCUUGAUUCGGUGGGUGGUGGUGCAUGGCCGUUCUUAGUUGGUGGGGCGAUUUGUCUGGUUAAUUCCGAUAACGAACGAGACUCUAGCCUGCUAAAUAGGCGUACCUUAUGGUAUCUCGAAGGCCCCCGGCCUCGGUCGGCGGGUUUUUACUACCAACGUACAAACAAAUCUUCUUAGAGGGACAGGCGGCUUCUAGCCGCACGAGAUUGAACAAUAACAGGUCUGUGAUGCCCUUAGAUGUUCUGGGCCGCACGCGCGCUACACUGAAGGAAUCAGCGUGUGUUCCCUGGCCGAAAGGCCCGGGUAACCCGCUGAACCUCCUUCGUGCUAGGGAUUGGGGCUUGCAAUUGUUCCCCAUGAACGAGGAAUUCCCAGUAAGCGCGAGUCAUAAGCUCGCGUUGAUUACGUCCCUGCCCUUU
RNAcentral lists this ribosomal RNA (519 nucleotides) under uncultured eukaryote. RNAcentral's name for it is "SSU rRNA". It matches the Rfam family "Eukaryotic small subunit ribosomal RNA", at positions 1161 to 1661 of the family's 1831-position model. The record is from RNAcentral.